This 495-nucleotide ribosomal RNA is filed under the name uncultured bacterium. RNAcentral describes it as "partial 16S ribosomal RNA". It matches the Rfam family "Bacterial small subunit ribosomal RNA", at positions 28 to 507 of the family's 1533-position model. The record is from RNAcentral.
GACGAACGCUGGCGGCGUGCCUAAUACAUGCAAGUAGAACGCUGAAGGAGGAGCUUGCUCUUCUGGAUGAGUUGCGAACGGGUGAGUAACGCGUAGGUAACCUGCCUGGUAGCGGGGGAUAACUAUUGGAAACGAUAGCUAAUACCGCAUAAGAGUAGAUGUUGCAUGACAUUUGCUUAAAAGGUGCAAUUGCAUCACUACCAGAUGGACCUGCGUUGUAUUAGCUAGUUGGUGGGGUAACGGCUCACCAAGGCGACGAUACAUAGCCGACCUGAGAGGGUGAUCGGCCACACUGGGACUGGGACACGGCCCAGACUCCUACGGGAGGCAGCAGGAGGGAAUCUUCGGGAAUGGACGGAAGUCUGACCGAGCAACGCCGCGUGAGUGAAGAAGGUUUUCGGAUCGUAAAGCUCUGUUGUAAGAGAAGAACGAGUGUGAGAGUGGAAAGUUCACACUGUGACGGUAUCUUACCAGAAAGGGACGGCUAACUACGUG